GGUUAAGCGACUAAGCGUACACGGUGGAUGCCCUGGCAGUCAGAGGCGAUGAAGGACGUGCUAAUCUGCGAUAAGCGUCGGUAAGGUGAUAUGAACCGUUAUAACCGGCGAUUUCCGAAUGGGGAAACCCAGUGUGAUUCGUCACACUAUCAUUAACUGAAUCCAUAGGUUAAUGAGGCGAACCGGGGGAACUGAAACAUCUAAGUACCCCGAGGAAAAGAAAUCAACCGAGAUUCCCCCAGUAGCGGCGAGCGAACGGGGAGCAGCCCAGAGCCUGAAUCAGUGUGUGUGUUAGUGGAAGCGUCUGGAAAGGCGCGCGAUACAGGGUGACAGCCCCGUACACAAAAAUGCACAUGCUGUGAGCUCGAUGAGUAGGGCGGGACACGUGGUAUCCUGUCUGAAUAUGGGGGGACCAUCCUCCAAGGCUAAAUACUCCUGACUGACCGAUAGUGAACCAGUACCGUGAGGGAAAGGCGAAAAGAACCCCGGCGAGGGGAGUGAAAAAGAACCUGAAACCGUGUACGUACAAGCAGUGGGAGCACGCUUAGGCGUGUGACUGCGUACCUUUUGUAUAAUGGGUCAGCGACUUAUAUUCUGUAGCAAGGUUAACCGAAUAGGGGAGCCGAAGGGAAACCGAGUCUUAACUGGGCGUUAAGUUGCAGGGUAUAGACCCGAAACCCGGUGAUCUAGCCAUGGGCAGGUUGAAGGUUGGGUAACACUAACUGGAGGACCGAACCGACUAAUGUUGAAAAAUUAGCGGAUGACUUGUGGCUGGGGGUGAAAGGCCAAUCAAACCGGGAGAUAGCUGGUUCUCCCCGAAAGCUAUUUAGGUAGCGCCUCGUGAACUCAUCUCCGGGGGUAGAGCACUGUUUCGGCAAGGGGGUCAUCCCGACUUACCAACCCGAUGCAAACUGCGAAUACCGGAGAAUGUUAUCACGGGAGACACACGGCGGGUGCUAACGUCCGUCGUGAAGAGGGAAACAACCCAGACCGCCAGCUAAGGUCCCAAAGUCAUGGUUAAGUGGGAAACGAUGUGGGAAGGCCCAGACAGCCAGGAUGUUGGCUUAGAAGCAGCCAUCAUUUAAAGAAAGCGUAAUAGCUCACUGGUCGAGUCGGCCUGCGCGGAAGAUGUAACGGGGCUAAACCAUGCACCGAAGCUGCGGCAGCGACGCUUAUGCGUUGUUGGGUAGGGGAGCGUUCUGUAAGCCUGUGAAGGUGUGCUGUGAGGCAUGCUGGAGGUAUCAGAAGUGCGAAUGCUGACAUAAGUAACGAUAAAGCGGGUGAAAAGCCCGCUCGCCGGAAGACCAAGGGUUCCUGUCCAACGUUAAUCGGGGCAGGGUGAGUCGACCCCUAAGGCGAGGCCGAAAGGCGUAGUCGAUGGGAAACAGGUUAAUAUUCCUGUACUUGGUGUUACUGCGAAGGGGGGACGGAGAAGGCUAUGUUGGCCGGGCGACGGUUGUCCCGGUUUAAGCGUGUAGGCUGGUUUUCCAGGCAAAUCCGGAAAAUCAAGGCUGAGGCGUGAUGACGAGGCACUACGGUGCUGAAGCAACAAAUGCCCUGCUUCCAGGAAAAGCCUCUAAGCAUCAGGUAACAUCAAAUCGUACCCCAAACCGACACAGGUGGUCAGGUAGAGAAUACCAAGGCGCUUGAGAGAACUCGGGUGAAGGAACUAGGCAAAAUGGUGCCGUAACUUCGGGAGAAGGCACGCUGAUAUGUAGGUGAAGUCCCUCGCGGAUGGAGCUGAAAUCAGUCGAAGAUACCAGCUGGCUGCAACUGUUUAUUAAAAACACAGCACUGUGCAAACACGAAAGUGGACGUAUACGGUGUGACGCCUGCCCGGUGCCGGAAGGUUAAUUGAUGGGGUCAGCGCAAGCGAAGCUCUUGAUCGAAGCCCCGGUAAACGGCGGCCGUAACUAUAACGGUCCUAAGGUAGCGAAAUUCCUUGUCGGGUAAGUUCCGACCUGCACGAAUGGCGUAAUGAUGGCCAGGCUGUCUCCACCCGAGACUCAGUGAAAUUGAACUCGCUGUGAAGAUGCAGUGUACCCGCGGCAAGACGGAAAGACCCCGUGAACCUUUACUAUAGCUUGACACUGAACAUUGAGCCUUGAUGUGUAGGAUAGGUGGGAGGCUUAGAAGUGUGGACGCCAGUCUGCAUGGAGCCGACCUUGAAAUACCACCCUUUAAUGUUUGAUGUUCUAACGUUGACCCGUAAUCCGGGUUGCGGACAGUGUCUGGUGGGUAGUUUGACUGGGGCGGUCUCCUCCUAAAGAGUAACGGAGGAGCACGAAGGUUGGCUAAUCCUGGUCGGACAUCAGGAGGUUAGUGCAAUGGCAUAAGCCAGCUUGACUGCGAGCGUGACGGCGCGAGCAGGUGCGAAAGCAGGUCAUAGUGAUCCGGUGGUUCUGAAUGGAAGGGCCAUCGCUCAACGGAUAAAAGGUACUCCGGGGAUAACAGGCUGAUACCGCCCAAGAGUUCAUAUCGACGGCGGUGUUUGGCACCUCGAUGUCGGCUCAUCACAUCCUGGGGCUGAAGUAGGUCCCAAGGGUAUGGCUGUUCGCCAUUUAAAGUGGUACGCGAGCUGGGUUUAGAACGUCGUGAGACAGUUCGGUCCCUAUCUGCCGUGGGCGCUGGAGAACUGAGGGGGGCUGCUCCUAGUACGAGAGGACCGGAGUGGACGCAUCACUGGUGUUCGGGUUGUCAUGCCAAUGGCACUGCCCGGUAGCUAAAUGCGGAAGAGAUAAGUGCUGAAAGCAUCUAAGCACGAAACUUGCCCCGAGAUGAGUUCUCCCUGACUCCUUGAGAGUCCUGAAGGAACGUUGAAGACGACGACGUUGAUAGGCCGGGUGUGUAAGCGCAGCGAUGCGUUGAGCUAACCGGUACUAAUGAACCGUGAGGCUUAACC
Molecule: ribosomal RNA, 2902 nt
Filed under: Escherichia coli
Lineage: Bacteria; Pseudomonadati; Pseudomonadota; Gammaproteobacteria; Enterobacterales; Enterobacteriaceae
Description: bacterial LSU rRNA
Rfam family: Bacterial large subunit ribosomal RNA
Source: RNAcentral